UGGUUCUGGCAUCGAUGAAGAACGCGGCGAAAUGCGAUAAGUAAUGUGAAUUGCAGAAUUCAGUGAAUCAUCGAAUCUUUGAACGCACAUUGCGCCCGCCAGCACUCUGGCGGGCAUGCCUGUUCGAGCGUCAUUUCAACCCUCAGGCCCCGCCUGGCGUUGGGGCACUACCGCGUGCGUAGGCCCUGAAAUUCAGUGGCGAGCCCGCCCGGACUCCGAGCGCAGUAGGCACAUACCUCGCUCAGGGCGUCCGGGCGCGCGUCGGCCGUUAAACCCAACAGACCCAGCAAGGUUGACCUCGGAUCAGGUAGGAGUACCCGCUGA
RNAcentral lists this unclassified non-coding RNA (324 nucleotides) under uncultured fungus. RNAcentral's name for it is "partial contains 5.8S ribosomal RNA and internal transcribed spacer 2". The stretch from base 1 to 133 matches the Rfam family "5.8S ribosomal RNA", at positions 22 to 154 of the family's 154-position model. Lineage: Eukaryota; Fungi. The record is from RNAcentral.